CCUACGGGUGGCAGCAGUGAGGAAUAUUGGUCAAUGGACGCAAGUCUGAACCAGCCAUGCCGCGUGCAGGAAGACGGCUCUAUGAGUUGUACACUGCUUUUGUACGAGGGUAAACGCAGAUACGCGUAUCUGUCUGAAAGUAUCGUACGAAUAAGGAUCGGCUAACUCCGUGCCAGCAGCCGAGGUAAUACGGAGGAUUCAAGCGUUAUCCGGAUUUAUUUGGUUUAAAGGGUGCGUAGGCGGUCGGAUAAGUUAGAUGUGAAAUCCCGAGGCUCAACUUCGGAAUUGCCUCUGAUACUGUUCGGCUAGAGAGUAGUUGCGGUAGGCGGAAUGUAUGGUGUAGCGGUGAAAUGCUUAGAGAUCAUACAGAACACCGAUUGCGAAGGCAGCUUACCAAGCUACUUCUGACGUUGAGGCACGAAAGCGUGGGGAGCAAACAGGAGUAGAUACCCUUGUAGUC
RNAcentral lists this ribosomal RNA (460 nucleotides) under uncultured bacterium. RNAcentral's name for it is "partial 16S ribosomal RNA". It matches the Rfam family "Bacterial small subunit ribosomal RNA", at positions 338 to 795 of the family's 1533-position model. The record is from RNAcentral.